Molecule: transfer RNA, 73 nt
Filed under: Cricetulus griseus (Chinese hamster)
Lineage: Eukaryota; Metazoa; Chordata; Mammalia; Rodentia; Cricetidae
Description: tRNA-Thr (CGT) (tRNA-Thr-CGT-5-1)
Rfam family: tRNA
About the family: Transfer RNA (tRNA) molecules are approximately 80 nucleotides in length.
Source: Rfam by way of RNAcentral
GCCCGGCUAGCUCAGUCGGUAGAGCAUGAGACUCGUAAUCUCAGGGUCCUGGGUUCGUGCCCCAAAUUGGGCA